RNAcentral lists this ribosomal RNA (469 nucleotides) under uncultured bacterium. RNAcentral describes it as "partial 16S ribosomal RNA". It matches the Rfam family "Bacterial small subunit ribosomal RNA", at positions 28 to 507 of the family's 1533-position model. The record is from RNAcentral.
GACGAACGCUGGCGGCGUGCUUAACACAUGCAAGUCGAACGGUGAAGCGAGUGCUUGCACUCGUGGAUCAGUGGCGAACGGGUGAGUAACACGUGAGUAACCUGCCCAUCACUCUGGGAUAAGCACUGGAAACGGUGUCUAAUACUGGAUACGACCAACCCUUGCAUGGGGUGUUGGUGAAAAGAUUUAUCGGUGAUGGAUGGACUCGCGGCCUAUCAGCUUGUUGGCGGGGUAAUGGCCCACCAAGGCGACGACGGGUAGCCGGCCUGAGAGGGUGACCGGCCACACUGGGACUGAGACACGGCCCAGACUCCUACGGGAGGCAGCAGUGGGGAAUAUUGCACAAUGGGCGAAAGCCUGAUGCAGCGACGCCGCGUGAGGGAUGACGGCCUUCGGGUUGUAAACCUCUUUCAACAGGGAAGAAGCGAAAGUGACGGUACCUGCAGAAGAAGCACCGGCUAACUACGUG